Molecule: long non-coding RNA, 528 nt
Filed under: Ananas comosus (pineapple)
Lineage: Eukaryota; Viridiplantae; Streptophyta; Magnoliopsida; Poales; Bromeliaceae
Description: long non-coding RNA (ACOM_LNC037949)
Source: RNAcentral
CUAUAGUUCCCAUCCUAACAGUUAAGGAGAGCAAUUUUAAACACGAAAAAUAACUUAACCAUCUAAUCACCUUUUAAACAAAAAAUUUAUUUUUACUUCAAAACUAUAGGUAAUCUCACCAACCUUCAUAUAAAGUAAUAAUAUUAUAAGUGUUAAUUUCACUGGUGCCCUUCAAAAGGUUAAUAAUAUCGUAAAUCGUACACCCCCACAAAAUCAGUAAUAUCAUCAUUACCCCUUUAAAUAUAUAAAUUCUUUCAAAUCUACCCUUAUUUGCAAAUUUCGUUAAAUUCAUAUGAGAUUAAAAAUUAAUUACCAAUUUUGCCCUUCAUCUUUGAAAGGUGUUGGAGGUUAUAGUGAGAAAAUAUUUAUUCAACUUCCUCAACUAUAGACUAUUUUAAAAAAGAUACCUAAUUUUUUUCCCUGCAUAAAAAACCCAUUCAAUUUUCAUUUUUUUGAUUUAAAUUAACUCCAUAAAUUAAAUUAUAUACAUUGUUCAAAACUAAAACACUCCAUUAGCCACUAACUAUU